CACAGAGGGUGCGAGCGUUAAUCGGAAUUACUGGGCGUAAAGCGCGCGUAGGUGGUUUGUUAAGUUGGAUGUGAAAUCCCCGGGCUCAACCUGGGAACUGCAUUCAAAACUGACUGACUAGAGUAUGGUAGAGGGUGGUGGAAUUUCCUGUGUAGCGGUGAAAUGCGUAGAUAUAGGAAGGAACACCAGUGGCGAAGGCGACCACCUGGACUAAUACUGACACUGAGGUGCGAAAGCGUGGGGAGCAAACAGG
RNAcentral lists this ribosomal RNA (253 nucleotides) under uncultured bacterium. RNAcentral describes it as "partial 16S ribosomal RNA". It matches the Rfam family "Bacterial small subunit ribosomal RNA", at positions 524 to 776 of the family's 1533-position model. The record is from RNAcentral.